This is a non-coding RNA of Taeniopygia guttata (zebra finch), 251 nucleotides long. Lineage: Eukaryota; Metazoa; Chordata; Aves; Passeriformes; Estrildidae. The record is from RefSeq and is a predicted model, not a curated record.
CCCAUUCUCCCUAUCUUUUCAACAGAUUUUUCAAAUUUAACUAAACCCAUCCAUAGCAUAAAAUGGAACAAAGACAAGGCUUUAUAAAUAAGCGAACUUUAAUCUAAUGGAGAUUACUCUAAUAUCAAAAGUUGUAGGUUUACCAAAUUAUCUACAUACUCUUUAGUGAAGAUUCCUCGAGGCCCAGUAGGUGUAACAUUGCUUGGAUCUAGUCCAUGUGUCUCCAGAAUGUUGCGAGCUGCAGGACUUAA